RNAcentral lists this ribosomal RNA (460 nucleotides) under uncultured bacterium. Its description in RNAcentral is "partial 16S ribosomal RNA". It matches the Rfam family "Bacterial small subunit ribosomal RNA", at positions 338 to 795 of the family's 1533-position model. The record is from RNAcentral.
CCUACGGGUGGCAGCAGUGAGGAAUAUUGGUCAAUGGGCGCGAGCCUGAACCAGCCAAGCCGCGUGAAGGAUGACUGCCCUAGGGGUUUUAAACUCCUUUUAUAAGGGAAUAUAGUGUGCCAUGUGUGCCUUUUUGGAUGUACGUUACGAAUAACGAUCGGCUAACUCCGUGCCAGCAGCGGCGGUAAUACGGAGGUUCAGAGCGUUAUCCGGAUUUAUUGGGUUUAAGGGGAGCGUAGGUGGGUUGUUAAGUCAGUUGUGAAAGUUUGCGGCUCAACCGUAAAAUUGCAAUUGAUACUGGCAGUCUUGAGUACAGUAGAGGUAGGUGGAAUUCGUGGUGUAGCGGUGAAAUGCGUAGAUAUCACGAAGAACACCGAUUGCGAAGGCAGCUUACUGAACUGCCACUGACACUGAGGCUCGAAAGUGUGGGUAUCAAACAGGAUUAGAUACCCGUGUAGUC